AGAAUCAACGCUGGCGGCGUGCCUAACACAUGCAAGUCGAGCGAGAAAGUGGGAGCAAUCCCACGAGUAAAGUGGCGCACGGGUGAGUAACACGUGACUAACCUACCCUUGAGUGGGGGAUAACCUAGGGAAACCUGGGCUAAUACCGCAUAAUACCUACGGGUCAAAGGAGCAAUUCGCUUAAGGAGGGGGUCGCGGCAGAUUAGUUAGUUGGCGGGGUAAUGGCCCACCAAGACAGUGAUCUGUAUCCGGCCUGAGAGGGCGCACGGACACACUGGAACUGAAACACGGUCCAGACUCCUACGGGAGGCAGCAGUGGGAAUUUGCGCAAUGGGGGAAACCCUGACGCAGCAACGCCGCGUGGAGGAUGAAGCCCCUUGGGGCGUAAACUCCUUUCGAUCGGGAAGAUAAUGACGGUACCGGAAGAAGAAGCCCGGCUAACUUCGCGCCAGCAGCCGC
This 459-nucleotide ribosomal RNA is filed under the name uncultured bacterium. Its description in RNAcentral is "SSU rRNA". It matches the Rfam family "Bacterial small subunit ribosomal RNA", at positions 26 to 518 of the family's 1533-position model. The record is from RNAcentral.